GUACACACCGCCCGUCACACCAUGGGAGUGGGCUGCUACAGAAGUCGGUGAGCCAACCCGCAAGGGGGCAGCCGCCUAAGAAGUGACUCAUGACUGGGGUGAAGUCGUAACAAGGUAGCCGUAGGUGAACCUGCAGAAGGAUCA
This 144-nucleotide ribosomal RNA is filed under the name uncultured eukaryote. RNAcentral's name for it is "partial small subunit ribosomal RNA". It matches the Rfam family "Bacterial small subunit ribosomal RNA", at positions 1383 to 1525 of the family's 1533-position model. The record is from RNAcentral.